AAGAUUUUAAGUUAAAAAAACUAUUAAUCUUCAAAAUUAAAAAUAAUAAAUUUUUAUUAAAUCUUA
This 66-nucleotide transfer RNA is filed under the name Athalia sp. 'tibetana'. Its description in RNAcentral is "tRNA-Trp". The record is from RNAcentral. Lineage: Eukaryota; Metazoa; Arthropoda; Insecta; Hymenoptera; Athaliidae.